This 1126-nucleotide long non-coding RNA is filed under the name Canis lupus familiaris (dog). RNAcentral's name for it is "lncRNA (ENSCAFG00000051940.1)". The record is from RNAcentral. Lineage: Eukaryota; Metazoa; Chordata; Mammalia; Carnivora; Canidae.
GUCUUGGCUGGCUUUCGUGCUAAGAGUUGGACCUACCCUUGUAAACGGUUUCGGGGUAAAAAGACUGAAUUGGUUUCCAAGAAGACCAGCUCUUAACAAAAGAAAAUAUACUGACUCACAAACAGUUGAGUUCAGGCCAGAAUUGUUUGUUCACUGCCUGCAUGCAUUUGACCCCUUGUCCUUGAAUAAUGAGCCACUCGGAUUCCACUGCUUUUUGGUGUGAGACAGUUGCGUCUUUGAAGUUUUGGAGUUGCAUCUUUGAAAAGUCUUUGAUCUGAAGAGUCUUCACUGCUUACAAAGAAAAACAGGCAAGAGAAACCGCGCCACUUUAAAAGCAAACAGGUGCCCGUACCUGGGACCAUAGCAACUCCAUCUUUCUCUUUCAGACAGGUGCGGUUUCUUACCCACUCACCAGACGUUGCCCAUGAGACACGUUCACUCUGGCAGGAGUUUCCAAGAUUACCGAAGGCAUCCUCUUGGUUAUGGAGAUUUGAAAAGCUAAGAAAAGUCUUUCUUAUUUUCAACUCAACCUGUUUAAUCUCAUAAAAUACCAAGGAGGUAUGAAAAAGUGGCAAGUUCUCAAUACCUGCCUGCAGACAACAUCCAGAGAAAACCUGAAUAUACCAGGUGAGCACAUAAACCUUUAGAGUCCUACAAACCAUUUGAUGUUUAAACCACUAUUUAGAGAAUAAGGCAGCAAUACCCUGCUAUGGAUCCAAAGAGGAAAAUAAGUUUCCUUUCUGAAAGGGAAUGAAGUUUUAUUGGUGCUUGCCUCUUCAUACCUUCAGGAUCAUGAAAGGAUCUUGAGGUGUGCUGCGGUGUUUUUUUAGAUCAGCCUCAGUUACUGCCUAAAAAGUUAUGAACCUCUUUCAAUGCCUCUGUCACAGACUUGAAGGAAAGAGUGAAAUCAACAGCUUACCUGCCUGUGGAACUUUCCCAAUGUAGGAAGAAGAAAGAUAGAAGGAACAAGGAAAGCAGAGUGGGAUUGGGAUCAGUAUUUAUUUUAUUUGGGUGAGGAGCUAUUUGAUUAAUGAUGAUAUUAAUCCUUGAAUUUCAAGGAUACGCCUAACUUUUCUUCUACAAAAAAUAAACAUACUUCUGCUUUGGUUUUUUGUGUGCAGUGACA